This 548-nucleotide ribosomal RNA is filed under the name Aureobasidium sp. CLUnB 415. Its description in RNAcentral is "eukaryotic LSU rRNA". It matches the Rfam family "Eukaryotic large subunit ribosomal RNA", at positions 70 to 633 of the family's 3401-position model. Lineage: Eukaryota; Fungi; Ascomycota; Dothideomycetes; Dothideales; Saccotheciaceae. The record is from RNAcentral.
AGGGAUUGCCCUAGUAACGGCGAGUGAAGCGGCAACAGCUCAAAUUUGAAAGCUGGCCUUCGGGUCCGCAUUGUAAUUUGUAGAGGAUGCUUUGGGGCAGCCGCCUGUCUAAGUUCCUUGGAACAGGACGUCAUAGAGGGUGAGAAUCCCGUAUGUGACAGGACAUGGCACCCUAUGUAAAGCUCCUUCGACGAGUCGAGUUGUUUGGGAAUGCAGCUCUAAAUGGGAGGUAAAUUUCUUCUAAAGCUAAAUACCGGCGAGAGACCGAUAGCGCACAAGUAGAGUGAUCGAAAGAUGAAAAGCACUUUGGAAAGAGAGUUAAAAAGCACGUGAAAUUGUUGAAAGGGAAGCGCUUGCAAUCAGACUUGUUUUGACUGUUCGGCCGGUCUUCUGACCGGUUUACUCAGUCUGGACAGGCCAGCAUCAGUUUUGGCGGCCGGAUAAAGGCUCAGGGAAUGUGGCUCUCACUUCGGUGGGAGUGUUAUAGCCCUGGGUGUAAUACGGCCAGCCGGGACUGAGGUCCGCGCUUCGGCUAGGAUGCUGGCGUA